This 74-nucleotide transfer RNA is filed under the name Cyanobacterium sp. T60_A2020_053. It matches the Rfam family "tRNA". From Rfam's summary of the family: Transfer RNA (tRNA) molecules are approximately 80 nucleotides in length. Their secondary structure includes four short double-helical elements and three loops (D, anti-codon, and T loops). Lineage: Bacteria; Bacillati; Cyanobacteriota; Cyanophyceae; Chroococcales; Geminocystaceae. The record is from Rfam by way of RNAcentral.
GGCUGAGUAGCUCAGUAGGUUAGAGCAGGGGACUCAUAAGCCCAAGGUCGGCAGUUCAAAUCUGCCCUUAGCCA